RNAcentral lists this ribosomal RNA (305 nucleotides) under uncultured bacterium. RNAcentral's name for it is "bacterial SSU rRNA". It matches the Rfam family "Bacterial small subunit ribosomal RNA", at positions 333 to 656 of the family's 1533-position model. The record is from RNAcentral.
GGUCUCCUACGGGGGGCAGCAGUGGGGAAUAUUGCACAAUGGGGGAAACCCUGAUGCAGCGACGCCGCGUGAAGGAAGAAGUAUUUCGGUAUGUAAACUUCUAUCAGCAGGGAAGAAAUGACGGUACCUGACUAAGAAGCCCCGGCUAACUACGUGCCAGCAGCCGCGGUAAUACGUAGGGGGCAAGCGUUAUCCGGAUUUACUGGGUGUAAAGGGAGCGUAGACGGUUACGCAAGUCUGGAGUGAAAGGCGGGGGCCCAACCCCCGGACGGCUUUGGAAACUGUAUAACUGGAGUGCAGGAGAG